GAAUUGAAAGCUAAAAUAUAAGCAGCGACCUUGUAAGUCGAAGAUAGAGUUAUCUCUCAAUUCU
Molecule: transfer RNA, 64 nt
Filed under: Duplodicodrilus schmardae
Lineage: Eukaryota; Metazoa; Annelida; Clitellata; Crassiclitellata; Megascolecidae
Description: tRNA-Thr
Source: RNAcentral